This 425-nucleotide ribosomal RNA is filed under the name uncultured bacterium. RNAcentral describes it as "bacterial SSU rRNA". It matches the Rfam family "Bacterial small subunit ribosomal RNA", at positions 354 to 796 of the family's 1533-position model. The record is from RNAcentral.
GUGAGGAAUAUUGGGCAAUGGAGGCAACUCUGACCCAGCCAUGCCGCGUGAGUGAAGAAGGUUUUCGGAUUGUAAAGCUCUUUCGGGUGUGACGAUGAUGACGGUAGCACCUAAAGAAGCCCCGGCUAACUUCGUGCCAGCAGCCGCGGUAAUACGAAGGGGGCAAGCGUUGUUCGGAAUUACUGGGCGUAAAGGGAGUGUAGGCGGUUAUGUAAGAUAGUGGUGAAAUCCCAGAGCUUAACUUUGGAAUUGCCAUUAUGACUAUGUGGCUAGAAUUACAGAGAGGAUAGUGGAAUACCCAGUGUAGAGGUGAAAUUCGUAGAUAUUGGGUAGAACACCAGUGGCGAAGGCGACUAUCUGGCUGUAUAUUGACGCUGAGGCUCGAAAGCAUGGGGAUCAAACAGGAUUAGAAACCCCUGUAGUCC